Molecule: transfer RNA, 71 nt
Filed under: Ovis aries (sheep)
Lineage: Eukaryota; Metazoa; Chordata; Mammalia; Artiodactyla; Bovidae
Rfam family: tRNA
About the family: Transfer RNA (tRNA) molecules are approximately 80 nucleotides in length. Their secondary structure includes four short double-helical elements and three loops (D, anti-codon, and T loops). Further hydrogen bonds mediate the characteristic L-shaped molecular structure. tRNAs have two regions of fundamental functional importance: the anti-codon, which is responsible for specific mRNA codon recognition, and the 3' end, to which the tRNAs corresponding amino acid is attached (by aminoacyl-tRNA synthetases). tRNAs cope with the degeneracy of the genetic code in two manners: having more than one tRNA (with a specific anti-codon) for a particular amino acid; and 'wobble' base-pairing, i.e. permitting non-standard base-pairing at the 3rd anti-codon position.
Source: Rfam by way of RNAcentral
CCUGGUGGCUCAGAUGGUAAAGCAUCUGCCUGCAAUGCAGGAGACCUGGGUUCGUUAUCCCAGGGUCAGGA